This 253-nucleotide ribosomal RNA is filed under the name uncultured bacterium. Its description in RNAcentral is "partial 16S ribosomal RNA". It matches the Rfam family "Bacterial small subunit ribosomal RNA", at positions 524 to 776 of the family's 1533-position model. The record is from RNAcentral.
UACGGGGGGGGCAAGCGUUGUUCGGAAUUACUGGGCGUAAAGGGCUCGUAGGCGGCCAACUAAGUCAGACGUGAAAUCCCUCGGCUUAACCGGGGAACUGCGUCUGAUACUGGAUGGCUUGAGGUUGGGAGAGGGAUGCGGAAUUCCAGGUGUAGCGGUGAAAUGCGUAGAUAUCUGGAGGAACACCGGUGGCGAAGGCGGCGUUCUGGACGGCAUCUGACACUGAGAAACGAAAGCCAGGGGAGCAAACGGG